This 385-nucleotide ribosomal RNA is filed under the name uncultured bacterium. RNAcentral describes it as "bacterial SSU rRNA". It matches the Rfam family "Bacterial small subunit ribosomal RNA", at positions 30 to 416 of the family's 1533-position model. The record is from RNAcentral.
AUUGAACGCUGGCGGAAUGCUUUACACAUGCAAGUCGAACGGCAGCACGGACUUCGGUCUGGUGGCGAGUGGCGAACGGGUGAGUAACAUAUCGGAACGUAUCCAAUAAUGGGGGAUAACUAAUCGAAAGGUUGGCUAAUACCGCAUACGCCCUACGGGGAAAGCUAGGGAUCGUAAGACCUGGCGUUAAUGGAGCGGCCGAUAUCUGAUUAGCUAGUUGGUGAGGUAAAGGCUCACCAAGGCGACGAUCAGUAGCUGGUCUGAGAGGACGACCAGCCACACUGGAACUGAGACACGGUCCAGACUCCUACGGGAGGCAGCAGUGGGGAAUUUUGGACAAUGGGCGCAAGCCUGAUCCAGCCAUUCCGCGUGAGUGAAGAAGGCC